GAGGAAGGUGGGGAUGACGUCAAGUCCUCAUGGCCUUUAUGUCCAGGGCUACACACGUGCUACAAUGGCCGGUACAAACCGCUGCAAACCCGCGAGGGUGAGCCAAUCGGAGAAAGCCGGCCUCAGUUCGGAUUGCAGUCUGCAACUCGACUGCAUGAAGCUGGAAUCGCUAGUAAUCGCGGAUCAGCAUGCCGCGGUGAAUACGUUCCCGGGCCUUGUACACACCGCCCGUCACAUCACGAAAGUGGGUUGUACUAGAAGCAGGUGAGCUAACCGCAAGGAAGCAGCCUUCCAAGGUGUGAUUCAUGAUUGGGGUGAAGUCG
Molecule: ribosomal RNA, 323 nt
Filed under: uncultured bacterium
Lineage: Bacteria
Description: bacterial SSU rRNA
Rfam family: Bacterial small subunit ribosomal RNA
Source: RNAcentral